Molecule: long non-coding RNA, 1813 nt
Filed under: Canis lupus familiaris (dog)
Lineage: Eukaryota; Metazoa; Chordata; Mammalia; Carnivora; Canidae
Description: lncRNA (ENSCAFG00845021831.1)
Source: RNAcentral
AAAAUACUGCCUAGCACAAGAAAGGUGUUCAAUACAUAGUGGCACUAAUGAGCACAGUAAUGUGUACAGCUUUGGACAAGGUGGUAACAGGAAAUCCUUGGACUUGAAAUUGGAUAGCUGUUACCUUCCUGCUUCAGGUGAAAAAUCGGACUCCUAUCUAGAAAACAAGUAAAGGUUAUGAAUCUGCCUUUCAAGUACUGCACAAGUUUAAGAGCCUGCUAGGUACCAAGCACUGUCCUAGGUACAAGAGCUACUGGAUUAACAAGCAGACAUCAUCUGUUCUGUUGUGGGGGAUGUUUGGUAAUUCAUAUUUAUUCAGUUUACAGCUAGCUUGAACCUCCCAGUGAUUCUCUGAGGAGCUUCAGCAUGUGGCAGAAAGAUUGUGGGACCAGACCAUGGCCCAUAAGGUUUUUGCUUUGAGUGCUCCUUCCUAAAAACAAGGGGUUGAUGGGGAGCAGGAAGCUGAGCUGACCUAUUAGACCUUUUGAGAUAACUGUAAUUAUGUAUACAUAGGGCCUCAACUGUUCACAUCCUUGAAGAUGUGAAUGUUAUAUUCAUCCACUUAAAACACUUCAUUAGGGGAUCCCUGGGUGGCUCAGUGUUUUAGUGCCUGCCUUCAGCCCAAGGCAUGAUCCUGGAGACCUGGGAUCGAGUCCCAUGUUGGGCUCCCUGCAUGGAGCCUGCUUCUCCCUCUGCCUCUCUCUCUCUCGUGAAUAAAUAAAAGUAAAAAAAAAAAAAAAAAAAUCCACUUCAUUAAACUUAUUUGAAGUAGAAUAUAGAAAAGCAGAUACUGUAAACAUGUAGUUCCAUAAAUUUUUGCCAACUUCUCAGUUGGUGUAAGGUAUUUAAGGGUGUACCCAUUUUUAAUCCUCAGAGCACCCAUCACAGCCAUAAGACAUUUCAGUGUUUGCUGAAUGAACAACAGAUGAGGCUGUGCUGGUUAUGAAAUCACACAGGUAAGAUUAAAGCAGUGCUGGCUUCGUUUGAGUCCAGUUCUUAUUCCAGGCUCUUGCCUUGUCACAGGGCUGUUAAAAGCUCAUCUCCAAUGCCUUGAUAGUAUGGAAUCCCAUUAAUUGCUCCUGUUAUUAGGGAAGGAGACUGAACGUCUAAAUGAAAGGGGGAGAAACUCUUCAAAAAUCACAUGACUCUGCACUGCAACCUCUGGUAACAGAGCCUAACUGGAAAAUAAGCCACUUUAUCACAUCUUUCACUAAAGGAAGUAGGAACACCUCAGACCUUGUACUCUUUAAUAUUACCUUUUUUUUUUUUUUUUUUUUUAAGAUUUAUUCAAGAGAGAGAGAACACACAAGUUGGGGGAGGGCCAAAAGGAGGGAGAGAGAAUCUCAAGUAGACUCUCCUCUGAGCACAGAGCACAGAUUCGGGGCUCAGUCCCAUAAUCCUGAGAUCAUGACCUGAACUGAAAUCUCGAGUCAGACUCUCAACCAACGGAGCCACCCAGGCACCCCAUUGCCUUUAUUUUUUUUCAACUAACAUUUAUUCAGUACUAUGUGCUAGGACUAAAAAUAUCAACCUAGAUGUACUCCUUGCUCAGCUCUAAAACUUGCACUGUCCCACUGGAACAGUAGAGCCUAGACAAUGAUAAGGAAGAGAGAUGGCUAGAUUCUUUUUACAUUUGUUUAAGUUCAAUUUGCCAACAUAUAACACCCAGUGCUCAUCAGAUAGCCAGAUUCUUGAAGAAUGUAAACUCUUUAUGUUCUAUUUAUAAUCUCUCCACCAAUGAGGUUUUAGAUUCUAAAUCCAAAAAUACUUCUUGUUCAUGGUGCCAAAAUCUGUAAAAAAAAAAAAAAAAAAA